AACGCACGCUGGCGGCAGGCUUAACACAUGCAAGUCGAACGCCCCGCAAGGGGAGUGGCAGCCGGGUGAGUAACGCGUGGGAACAUACCCUUUUCUACGGAAUAGCUCUGGGAAACUGGAAUUAAUACCGUAUACGCCCUACGGGGGAAAGAUUUAUCGGGGAAGGAUUGGCCCGCGUUGGAUUAGCUAGUUGGUGGGGUAAAGGCCUACCAAGGCGACGAUCCAUAGCUGGUCUGAGAGGAUGAUCAGCCACAUUGGGACUGAGACACGGCCCAAACUCCUACGGGAGGCAGCAGUGGGGAAUAUUGGACAAUGGGCGCAAGCCUGAUCCAGCCAUGCCGCGUGAGUGAUGAAGGCCUUAGGGUUGUAAAGCUCUUUCACCGAUGAAGAUAAUGACGGUAGUCGGAGAAGAAGCCCCGGCUAACUUCGUG
This 431-nucleotide ribosomal RNA is filed under the name uncultured bacterium. Its description in RNAcentral is "partial 16S ribosomal RNA". It matches the Rfam family "Bacterial small subunit ribosomal RNA", at positions 29 to 507 of the family's 1533-position model. The record is from RNAcentral.